UACGUAGGGUGCGAGCGUUGUCCGGAAUUAUUGGGCGUAAAGGGCUCGUAGGCGGUCUGUUGCGUCAGGAGUGAAAACUCGGGGCUUAACCCCGAGCCUGCUUCUGAUACGGGCAGACUAGAGGUAUGCAGGGGAGAACGGAAUUCCUGGUGUAGCGGUGAAAUGCGCAGAUAUCGGGAGGAACACCAGUGGCGAAGGCGACUUCCUGGCCUGUUCUUGACGCUGAGGCGCGAAAGCUAGGGGAGCAAACGGG
RNAcentral lists this ribosomal RNA (253 nucleotides) under uncultured bacterium. Its description in RNAcentral is "partial 16S ribosomal RNA". It matches the Rfam family "Bacterial small subunit ribosomal RNA", at positions 524 to 776 of the family's 1533-position model. The record is from RNAcentral.